Molecule: long non-coding RNA, 370 nt
Filed under: Sorghum bicolor (sorghum)
Lineage: Eukaryota; Viridiplantae; Streptophyta; Magnoliopsida; Poales; Poaceae
Description: long non-coding RNA (SBIC_LNC014034)
Source: RNAcentral
AGGCUGUUUUAAUUUGCAAAAAAUUCUCAAGCAUACUUACCUUGUAUUUAUUGCCUGAUCAAAACGGGAUCCGAGGAGGGGAAUGUCAUACUCUUAGAUCAGAGACUUUGGAAAUUAAAAUCUUUAUCAACUCUUGCUGGCAUAUUGCUUAUUAGAGGGACCAUGGGCUAUCAUUUUCUUUUUCUUCUUCUUUUUUUAAGUGGAUACCGAGGUACCCCUAAUUCUACUGCCGGACACUCGUCCAUUUUUCUGCGAGGUUAUCGAGCACUUGCUCCUUUUUAUUUCCUCGAAAUAUCUUUAUUUUUGCAUAGCCCAUGCCUCUAAUGCAAUAAUACUUCGGAAGAGUGAAUCUUUCUGAAUAAAUGUCUUG